UUUGAUCCUGGCUCAGGAUGAACGCUGGCGGCGUGCCUAAUACAUGCAAGUCGUACGAACAGCGGAAAGUGCUUGCACUUUCCAAGUAAGUGGCGAACGGGUGAGUAACACGUGAAUAACCUACCUCAAAGUCUGGGAUAACCAUUGGAAACAGUGACUAAUACCGGAUAAAACCCAAGUGCACAUGCACUAAGGUUAAAAGCUGCGUUUGCAGCGCUUUAAGAUGGAUUCGCGGUGCAUUAGUUAGUUGGUGAGGUAAAGGCUCACCAAGACGAUGAUGCAUAGCCGAGUUGAGAGACUGACCGGCCACAUUGGGACUGAGACACGGCCCAAACUCCUACGGGAGGCUGCAGUAGGGAAUCUUCCACAAUGGGCGCAAGCCUGAUGGAGCAACGCCGCGUGUGUGAUGAAGGCUUUCGGGUCGUAAAGCACUGUUGUAUGGGAAGAACGGGUUUAAGAGGAAAUGCUUAGACAGUGACGGUACCAUACCAGAAAGGGACGGCUAAAUAC
This 510-nucleotide ribosomal RNA is filed under the name Fructobacillus fructosus. RNAcentral describes it as "bacterial SSU rRNA". It matches the Rfam family "Bacterial small subunit ribosomal RNA", at positions 12 to 504 of the family's 1533-position model. The record is from RNAcentral. Lineage: Bacteria; Bacillati; Bacillota; Bacilli; Lactobacillales; Lactobacillaceae.